This 624-nucleotide ribosomal RNA is filed under the name uncultured archaeon. RNAcentral describes it as "bacterial SSU rRNA". It matches the Rfam family "Archaeal small subunit ribosomal RNA", at positions 146 to 774 of the family's 1478-position model. The record is from RNAcentral.
AUAAUACUCCAUAGAUUAGAGACACUGGAAUGUUCUUUAGUCGAAAGUUCUGGCGCCUUAGGAUGGAUCUGCGGUCGAUUAGGUUGUUGUUGGGGUAACGGCCCAACAAGCCUGUAAUCGAUACGGGUUGUGGGAGCAAGAGCCCGGAGAUGGAAUCUGAGACACGAUUCCAGGCCCUACGGGGCGCAGCAGGCGCGAAAACUUUACAAUGCAGGAAACUGUGAUAAGGGAACUCCGAGUGCCCGUAUACGCGGGCUGUCCAGGUGUUUAAAAAUCAUCUGAAGAAAGGGCCGGGCAAGACCGGUGCCAGCCGCCGCGGUAAUACCGGCGGCUCGAGUGGUGGCCACUAUUAUUGGGCUUAAAGCGUCCGUGGCUGGACCGAUAAGUCUCUUGGGAAAUCCGCCGGCUCAACCGGCGGGCGUCUAAGGGAUACUGUUAGUCUAGGGACCGGGAGAGGUGAGAGGUACUCCGGGGGUAGGAGUGAAAUCCUGUAAUCCCCGGGGGACCACCGAUGGCGAAGGCAUCUCACCAGAACGGCUCCGACAGUGAGGGACGAAAGCUGGGGGAGCGAACCGGUAUUAGAUACCCGGGUAGUCCCAGCCGUAAACUAUGCGCGUUAGGUGU